This is a non-coding RNA of Mesocricetus auratus (golden hamster), 112 nucleotides long. NCBI's taxonomy places the organism in Eukaryota, Metazoa, Chordata, Mammalia, Rodentia, Cricetidae. The record is from Rfam.
GUGUUUGCUUCAGCAGCACAUAUAGUUAAAAAAAUUAGAACAAUACAGAGAAAAUUAACAUGGCCCCUGUGCAAGGAUGAUAACACAAAAUCAUGAAGAAGAAGAAAAAAAA